RNAcentral lists this ribosomal RNA (263 nucleotides) under uncultured bacterium. Its description in RNAcentral is "partial 16S ribosomal RNA". It matches the Rfam family "Bacterial small subunit ribosomal RNA", at positions 524 to 786 of the family's 1533-position model. The record is from RNAcentral.
UACGGAGGGUGCAAGCGUUACUCGGAAUCACUGGGCGUAAAGGGUGCGUAGGCUGACUUUUAAGUCAGGCGUGAAAUCCAAUGGCUUAACCAUUGAACUGCGCUUGAAACUGGGAGUCUAGAGUUCAGAAGGGGCAGAUGGAAUUAGUGGUGUAGGGGUAAAAUCCGUAGAUAUCACUAGGAAUAUCAAAAGCGAAGGCGAUCUGCUGGGAUGAUACUGACGCUGAGGCACGAAAGCGUGGGGAGCAAACAGGAUUAGAUACC